Molecule: transfer RNA, 69 nt
Filed under: Hylodes meridionalis (Rio Grande tree toad)
Lineage: Eukaryota; Metazoa; Chordata; Amphibia; Anura; Hylodidae
Description: tRNA-Arg
Rfam family: tRNA
About the family: Transfer RNA (tRNA) molecules are approximately 80 nucleotides in length. Their secondary structure includes four short double-helical elements and three loops (D, anti-codon, and T loops). Further hydrogen bonds mediate the characteristic L-shaped molecular structure. tRNAs have two regions of fundamental functional importance: the anti-codon, which is responsible for specific mRNA codon recognition, and the 3' end, to which the tRNAs corresponding amino acid is attached (by aminoacyl-tRNA synthetases). tRNAs cope with the degeneracy of the genetic code in two manners: having more than one tRNA (with a specific anti-codon) for a particular amino acid; and 'wobble' base-pairing, i.e. permitting non-standard base-pairing at the 3rd anti-codon position.
Source: RNAcentral
AAGAUAUUAGUCUAAACAAAACAUUUGACUUCGACUCAAAAAACUAUGGUGUAACCCCAUAAUAUCUUC